Molecule: ribosomal RNA, 253 nt
Filed under: uncultured bacterium
Lineage: Bacteria
Description: partial 16S ribosomal RNA
Rfam family: Bacterial small subunit ribosomal RNA
Source: RNAcentral
UACGUAGGGUGCAAGCGUUGUCCGGAAUUAUUGGGCGUAAAGAGCUCGUAGGCGGUCUGUUGCGUCGGCUGUGAAAACCCGGGGCUCAACCCCGGGCCUGCAGCCGAUACGGGCAGACUAGAGUUCGGCAGGGGAGACUGGAAUUCCUGGUGUAGCGGUGAAAUGUGCAGAUAUCAGGAGGAACACCGGUGGCGAAGGCGGGUCUCUGGGCCGAUACUGACGCUGAGGAGCGAAAGCGUGGGGAGCGAACAGG